This 253-nucleotide ribosomal RNA is filed under the name uncultured bacterium. RNAcentral describes it as "partial 16S ribosomal RNA". It matches the Rfam family "Bacterial small subunit ribosomal RNA", at positions 524 to 776 of the family's 1533-position model. The record is from RNAcentral.
UACGUAGGUGGCAAGCGUUGUCCGGAAUUAUUGGGCGUAAAGCGCGCGCAGGCGGUCCUUUAAGUCUGAUGUGAAAGCCCACGGCUCAACCGUGGAGGGUCAUUGGAAACUGGGGGACUUGAGUACAGAAGAGGAAAGCGGAAUUCCACGUGUAGCGGUGAAAUGCGUAGAUAUGUGGAGGAACACCAGUGGCGAAGGCGGCUUUCUGGUCUGUAACUGACGCUGAGGCGCGAAAGCGUGGGGAGCAAACAGG